This 492-nucleotide ribosomal RNA is filed under the name uncultured bacterium. RNAcentral describes it as "bacterial SSU rRNA". It matches the Rfam family "Bacterial small subunit ribosomal RNA", at positions 410 to 902 of the family's 1533-position model. The record is from RNAcentral.
GAAGGCCCUAUGGGUCGUAAACUUCUUUUACAGGGGACAAAUAUCCAGUUCGUGAACUGGAUUGAUGGUACUCUGAGAAUAAGGGUCGGCUAACUUCGUGCCAGCAGCCGCGGUAAUACGAAGGACCCGAGCGUUAUCCGGAUUUAUUGGGUUUAAAGGGUGCGUAGGCGGACAUGCAAGUCAGUGGUGAAAUCUCUCUGCUCAACAGAGAAACUGCCAUUGAAACUAUGUGUCUUGAGUACAUUUGAGGCGGGCGGAAUGUGUCAUGUAGAGGUGAAAUUCUUAGAUAUGACACAGAACACCAAUUGCGAAGGCAGCUCGCUAAACUGUAACUGACGCUGAGGCACGAAAGCGUGGGGAUCAAACAGGAUUAGAUACCCUGGUAGUCCACGCCCUAAACGAUGAUUACUCGAAGUGUGCGAUACACAGCACGCCUCUGAGCGAAAGCAUUAAGUAAUCCACCUGGGAAGUACGACCGCAAGGUUGAAACUC